RNAcentral lists this ribosomal RNA (253 nucleotides) under uncultured bacterium. Its description in RNAcentral is "partial 16S ribosomal RNA". It matches the Rfam family "Bacterial small subunit ribosomal RNA", at positions 524 to 776 of the family's 1533-position model. The record is from RNAcentral.
GACGGAGGCGGCAAGCGUUAUCCGGAAUGAUUGGGCGUAAAGCGUUCGCAGGUGGCUGUUCAAGUCUGCUGUCAAAGACCGGGGCUUAACCCUAGAAAGGCAGUGGAAACUGAACGGCUGGAGUGCAGUAGGGGUAGAGGGAAUUCCCAGUGUAGCGGUGAAAUGCGCAGAGCUUGGGAAGAACACCGGUGGCGAAAGCGCUCUGCUGGACUGCAACUGACCCUGAGGGACGAAAGCUAGGGGAGCGAAAGGG